This 74-nucleotide transfer RNA is filed under the name Saccoglossus kowalevskii. RNAcentral describes it as "tRNA-Asn". It matches the Rfam family "tRNA". Rfam says of the family: Transfer RNA (tRNA) molecules are approximately 80 nucleotides in length. Their secondary structure includes four short double-helical elements and three loops (D, anti-codon, and T loops). Lineage: Eukaryota; Metazoa; Hemichordata; Enteropneusta; Harrimaniidae. The record is from RNAcentral.
GUCUCUGUGGCGCAAUCGGCUAGGGCGUUCGGCUGUUAACCGAAAGGUCGGUGGUUCUAGCCCACCCAGGGUCG